RNAcentral lists this long non-coding RNA (1688 nucleotides) under Daphnia magna. RNAcentral's name for it is "uncharacterized LOC123470523". The record is from RNAcentral. Lineage: Eukaryota; Metazoa; Arthropoda; Branchiopoda; Diplostraca; Daphniidae.
CUUGGCAAACAUUAAGCAUCGAUUUCAAACUCACACAGAGCGUAAAGACCAGCACGAAAGAAUCGAUAGAUGGGAGAAUUGCGUGAAAAAAAAAAUAAGAGACUAGAUCCCAGGUGGCUCUUCACUCGUUGCGCCAGUUUUGUUUUCUAUUCGUGAGUGCUCCGCUCCAUCGAGUCCGUGACAGUCUGUUACAUUUGCUUAACUUUUAGUCGCCGCAAGAUGCUAGAAAUGAUCUUGGUUCGUAUUUUUUUGGCACAGCAAUUGCCUUUGGGACAAUUAAAUCUGACAGAGAAAUGGCGUUGUUCCAGUGACAUGGCAGGCUGCCCUCCCUAGUUGCUUCCCGUAUGCAAUGAAUUAUUUACUGAAUCUCAUCCAAUCUUCUUUAGCAUUGCGAUCAAUAAAUUAACACUACUUGAAAAGGACGUGAUAUUCUGGCUGGAGUGAAAAGCCCGCUUGUGCUCUCAACUUCAGAGCUAGGCAGUGUGAAACAAAGCAUAGUUCCGUUCCUUUGCAUCCCUUUUUUUUCUCUCUGUGGAGGAGAGGGCGUUCGUGUUUCGAAUGGUAAAUAGAGGCCACAACAUAUGGUUUGGAUCAAUAGUGUGGUAAACAGCAAUCAAGCUACAGUUUCAAGCAAUUCUAGCGAUGAUUAUGAUUAGCCUAGCUAUCUGAAGUGUAUCUUGGCCACUCUCCACAAUUUGUUACAUUAUGUAUGGACUUUGAUACGUUGAACGGAUUACACCGCGUGAAUAGGACGGCAGGGGACACGGUUGUUCAAAUAGAGAUUUAUCUAACGUGAUAAAGCCGAUGAAUGCGGCCUGCUCAGGGAUCUUUGUUUUGUUAAUAACAUCACCGGACGAUGCAUAAAGAAGGCUACGUGAAUGAAUAUGAGCGAUGGCAAUUCACAAUGUUUUGAGUGGGCCUAUAGCUGAAGUUUUCUUCAGAUCAUUUCAAAAGCCUCCACAUUUGGAUCGAUGAAUCCAUCAUUUGUCUGGCGAGAAUGGAAUUCAGCGCACAUUCUCAGUUAGUUUUUCAUGGUAUGGUGGGAAUCAGCAGUAGACUAUAGACUGCGAUAAAUAGUACGUACGUGAAGCACGUUACGUAUAUAUCAUAUUGUAUAUUCAGCCUAAAAGCCCUGUGUGUUUUGUGACAGUUUCACCAACUCCCUCGCUAACUUCUCAUCCACUAGCGAGGGAUCGUAAAUCACAAAUAUGCCGCAGUCGCUGAAGGCUGUACAAAAAAAAUAAGGAAGAAUGACGACAAAACUUUGGGUUUAUGCGAGGAAACUGAACGGCUAGAAAAAGGCAUUUAUGCAUUGGAUUAAGUCUCCUUUGUUGUGCUAUGUGUAUGCCAGGCUUAAGGCGAUCGGCCAAGCCCAAAAAUUCAAUCCUUCGCUAAACAAAAAUUACUGGGGAAAAUAAAACACAAGUCAGACAUUACGGAAGCAACAGUUAAGAGUGCGCGGGAAUAGAGGUAAUCGACCGCAUGUGGCGCAAUGCGUCAAAUGCGAAAGCCGUCUCAUCAUAAUAGCACGACAUGACUGCGGCUGCCGUCAACCGCUCGGGAUGGAUGGUUCACGUGGUAACAAUGUUUUUCUUCGUAUUUUGCUCAGUUAAAAAAUAUCAACUUAUCUAUACUAGCGACUUUUGCUACUAACAUACACUUAUGGAAUAAAUGAUGUUUUCAUAGUA